Molecule: ribosomal RNA, 1258 nt
Filed under: Vibrio harveyi
Lineage: Bacteria; Pseudomonadati; Pseudomonadota; Gammaproteobacteria; Vibrionales; Vibrionaceae
Description: bacterial SSU rRNA
Rfam family: Bacterial small subunit ribosomal RNA
Source: RNAcentral
GGGUGAGUAAAUGCUCUAGGAAAUCUGCCCGUGGUGUGGGGGAUAACCAUUGAGAAACGAUGGUCUAAUACCGCAUAAUACCCUUCGGGUCAAAGAGGGGGACCUUCGGGCCUCUCCGCGUCAGGAAUAUGCCUAGGUGGGAUUAGCUAGUUGGUGAGGUAAUGGCUCACCAAGGCGACGAUCCCUAGCUGGUCUGAGAGGAUGAUCAGCCACACUGGAACUGAGACACGGUCCAGACUCCUACGGGAGGCAGCAGUGGGGAAUAUUGCACAAUGGGCGCAAGCCUGAUGCAGCCAUGCCGCGUGUGUGAAGAAGGCCUUCGGGUUGUAAAGCACUUUCAGUUCGUGACGAAGGUAGCUGUAGUUAAUAGCUGCAUCAUUUGACGUUAGCGACAGAAGAAGCACCGGCUAACUCCGUGCCAGCAGCCGCGGUAAUACGGAGGGUGCGAGCGUUAAUCGGAAUUACUGGGCGUAAAGCGCAUGCAGGUGGUUUGUUAAGUCAGAUGUGAAAGCCCGGGGCUCAACCUCGGAAUAGCAUUUGAAACUGGCAGACUAGAGUACUGUAGAGGGGGGUAGAAUUUCAGGUGUAGCGGUGAAAUGCGUAGAGAUCUGAAGGAAUACCGGUGGCGAAGGCGGCCCCCUGGACAGAUACUGACACUCAGAUGCGAAAGCGUGGGGAGCAAACAGGAUUAGAUACCCUGGUAGUCCACGCCGUAAACGAUGUCUACUUGGAGGUUGUGGCCUUGAGCCGUGGCUUUCGGAGCUAACGCGUUAAGUAGACCGCCUGGGGAGUACGGUCGCAAGAUUAAAACUCAAAUGAAUUGACGGGGGCCCGCACAAGCGGUGGAGCAUGUGGUUUAAUUCGAUGCAACGCGAAGAACCUUACCUACUCUUGACAUCCAGAGAACUUUCCAGAGAUGGAUUGGUGCCUUCGGGAACUCUGAGACAGGUGCUGCAUGGCUGUCGUCAGCUCGUGUUGUGAAAUGUUGGGUUAAGUCCCGCAACGAGCGCAACCCUUAUCCUUGUUUGCCAGCACUUCGGGUGGGAACUCCAGGGAGACUGCCGGUGAUAAACCGGAGGAAGGUGGGGACGACGUCAAGUCAUCAUGGCCCUUACGAGUAGGGCUACACACGUGCUACAAUGGCGCAUACAGAGGGCGGCCAACUUGCGAGAAGUGAGCGAAUCCCAAAAAGUGCGUCGUAGUCCGGAUCGGAGUCUCGCAACUCGACUCCGUGAAGUCGGAAUCGCUAGUAAAUCGU